UAGGGAAUCUUCCACAAUGGACGCAAGUCUGAUGGAGCAACGCCGCGUGAGUGAAGAAGGUCUUCGAAUCGUAAAACUCUGUUGUAAGAGAAGAACACGUAUGAGAGUAACUGUUCAUACGUUGACGGUAUUUAACCAGAAAGUCACGGCUAACUACGUGCCAA
This 164-nucleotide ribosomal RNA is filed under the name uncultured bacterium. Its description in RNAcentral is "partial 16S rRNA". It matches the Rfam family "Bacterial small subunit ribosomal RNA", at positions 355 to 511 of the family's 1533-position model. The record is from RNAcentral.